Molecule: unclassified non-coding RNA, 404 nt
Filed under: soil metagenome
Description: partial contains 5.8S ribosomal RNA, internal transcribed spacer 2, and large subunit ribosomal RNA
Rfam family: 5.8S ribosomal RNA (bases 1-122)
Source: RNAcentral
GAUGAAGAACGCAGCAAAAUGCGAUACUUGGUGUGAAUUGCAGAAUCCCGUGAACCAUCGAGUUUUUGAACGCAAGUUGCGCCCGAAGCCUUUUGGCCGAGGGCACGUCUGCCUGGGCGUCACGCAUCGCGACGCCCCCCACAAUUCUCCGUAAAGGGAACAUGUGUUUUGGGGGCGGAUAUUGGUCUCCCGUGCUCAUGGCGUGGUUGGCCGAAAUAGGAGUCCUUUCGAUGGACGCACGAACUAGUGGUGGUCGUAAAAACCCUCGUCUUUUGUUUCGUGCUGUUGCUCGCAAGGUAAACUCUUUAAAAACCCCAAUGUGUCGUCUCUUGACGACGCUUCGACCGCGACCCCAGGUCAGGCGGGACUACCCGCUGAGUUUAAGCAUAUCAAUAAGCGGAGGA